GGCGCGCAGCUGCCGCGGGGUUCGGCCUGGCGGAGCAGAUGGCGCCGGCGGGGGGCAGCCGUUUGACGCCUACAAGAAGGACCACAGUCCCAUUUUACAGCUAGAAAACUGAGGUCUGAGAAGGAGCUGAGCGGCAAUGGGGCCAGGACUAGACCCUAGACCCCUGCCUGACAUGUGCUUCUGCCUGGGGACAAGCGUGUCUCCAGCCUAAGGGGCCCGCCAAAAGCAAACGAACUUUCUCGAUCUUGCUUGUCUAUGUUCCAAAAAAUGUUCUUCCUCGUGUAGGGCCCUUGCACAUGGUGUCCUUUAAGCCCCACCCUAAUCCCUCCCCACCCCCCAACCAUUCCUUCCAAGGGCUCUUUCAGUUUUCAGCUGAGGCGGCAUUGUCUCCAGGAAGCCUCCCUGGAACCACAGCACCAGGGCCCUAAGGGUGGCUAAGACCCUUCAUUCGAUGAACGUGCGGGAGCCCCCCCCCCAACUGUAAGGACAGGGAGUGGGUGUGCCUUUUUGUUCAGCAUCCUGUUCCACCUGCAUCAUAGGCACUCAAGACAUAGUUGUGAAUGAAUGAGUAGUUAAACGGGUGAAUGAAUGAACCAACAGGAUCUCUGAAGUGGCACUUACUUCCUUACUAUCCAGUUGUCAGCCAGUCGGGGGCGGAGGGAGGGCAGAUAAUACAAGAACCAGGGCUGUUUGGAAUCUUGGGCCUUCUCAGCCGCAGCCCUUCGUUAAUGAAACGUGUGCUGCGGUUUGCUCCCCUUCCUCCUGCUCAGCCCACCCCACCGCCCUGUGACUGGAGGCCAAGCCCUUCCCCUCCUGUUGACGGAACGGAGUCUUCCUAAUGCUGAUGAAUGAAGUGACCGUUAAUAAGAUGAAACCAGGCCAGAGAGAGCCAAAUGAGAAAGUUGGCAGCUUUGUGAAGAAACUGUAGGUUAAGUAACUUCCCCAGGAUCAAGAGCUGGUGACAGGCAGGAUUCAACCCAGACAGUUACCUGCUAGGCACUGUCACAUUCACGGUUUUCAGGAUGUUCUCUGAGGACCCCCAGGGUCCCAUCCAGGGAUGGAGAAGAUUGAGGCAAAGGGACUUUUGGCUGGGCAG
Molecule: non-coding RNA, 1096 nt
Organism: Microcebus murinus (gray mouse lemur)
Lineage: Eukaryota; Metazoa; Chordata; Mammalia; Primates; Cheirogaleidae
Source: RefSeq, a predicted model, not a curated record